GAUGAACGCUGGCGGCGUGCUUAACACAUGCAAGUCGAACGGAAAGGCCUCUGCUUGCUGGGGUACUCGAGUGGCGAACGGGUGAGUAACACGUGGGUGAUCUGCCCUGCACUUCGGGAUAAGCCCGGGAAACUGGGGCUAAUACCGGAUAGGACAAUGGGUUGGAUGCUGUUGGGGAAAGUUUUUCGGUGUGGGAUGAGCUCGCGGCCUAUCAGCGUGUUGGUGGGGUAGUGGUCUACCACGGCGUCGACGGGGGGCCGGCGAGAGGGGGUGCGCCGACACAGGGGGUCUGAGACAGCGCACACUCUCCCGCGGGGCAGAACAGGGGAAUAUUUCACAAUGUGGGCAGGCGUGAGGCAGAGAAGCGGCGCGGGCGGGGACGGCGCUCGCGGUGUAAACACCUCUCGCGACGGACGCAGCGCUUUUGUGACGGUACCGGGAGAAGAAGCACCGGCUAACUACGUG
This 465-nucleotide ribosomal RNA is filed under the name uncultured bacterium. RNAcentral's name for it is "partial 16S ribosomal RNA". It matches the Rfam family "Bacterial small subunit ribosomal RNA", at positions 28 to 507 of the family's 1533-position model. The record is from RNAcentral.